AAUGGUAUCAGAUCAUAACAAUGUGGUCGAGUAGAGCAAUCUUGGCAUGGUUCAGUUUUACUUCAAUUUCAUUGACUACGCAACAGACAACUAGCAACGAGGGCACAAAGUUUAUCCGGUGAACCAAAAUGCUUACAAGGCUAUCUCAUCAUUAUCCCUUAUGCAUAUGCAACAAUCCUAAAUAAAACACUUUAGACUCGAUCCUAAAUGUAAUGCAACUACAUGAACACUAUGUUUUUGAGAAAUCAUUUUCU
This 254-nucleotide small RNA is filed under the name Arabidopsis thaliana (thale cress). RNAcentral describes it as "ATSL272570". The record is from RNAcentral. Lineage: Eukaryota; Viridiplantae; Streptophyta; Magnoliopsida; Brassicales; Brassicaceae.